UAACGAGGGUAGCAAUACCGCUGACGACCGGCGCACGGGUGAGUAACGCGUAUGCAACCUGCCUAUAACUGGGGAAUAGCUCCCUGAAAGGGGAAGUUAACACCGCAUAACACUAUUGAUUCGCAUGGAUUGGUAGUUAAAUGUAGCGAUACAGGUUAUAGAUGGGCAUGCGUGACAUUAGCUAGUUGGUGAGGUAACGGCUCACCAAGGCUACGAUGUCUAGGGGUUCUGAGAGGAAGGUCCCCCCACACUGGUACUGAGACACGGACCAGACUCCUACGGGAGGCAGCAGUGAGGAAUAUUGGUCAAUGGGCGCAAGCCUGAACCAGCCAUGUCGCGUGCAGGAAGACUCGCCCUAUGGGUUGUAAACUGCUUUUAUAGUAGAAGAAACACAUCUACGCGUAGAUGUCUGCCAGUAUACUAUGAAUAAGCAUCGGCUAACUCCGUGCCAGCCGCAGC
This 459-nucleotide ribosomal RNA is filed under the name uncultured bacterium. Its description in RNAcentral is "bacterial SSU rRNA". It matches the Rfam family "Bacterial small subunit ribosomal RNA", at positions 70 to 518 of the family's 1533-position model. The record is from RNAcentral.